Molecule: long non-coding RNA, 539 nt
Organism: Centruroides sculpturatus (bark scorpion)
Lineage: Eukaryota; Metazoa; Arthropoda; Arachnida; Scorpiones; Buthidae
Exons: 3
Source: RefSeq, a predicted model, not a curated record
AGAGAAUGAAGUAUUAAAUUAUAACAAUAAAAAAAUUCCUUUGUAAGUCAUUAAAAAAGAAUCAAUUCCGUAAUAAAAUCCUUCCCUUAGAUAGAUUCGACUUUGCAGAUUUUUUUUUUCUCGUGGAGUGAAUCGAUAGAAAUUUGCAACAAUAGAAGCACAAAAACAUUGUCUGGAAACCAUGGUAAGGGGAGAAGCUUUAUUUGUUUUGUCUAUGCCCCACUAGGGUUAUCUUGCCCCCGAAAAACCGCUGUUUGAUGAUCCCUGCUGGAUGCCCCUUUGUCCUGCCACUUGGAGUGCUAAAUGCCCAAAGACCUCAUGCUGUAACACUGUCCAUAAAUCUCAAUACUAUUUUCUUGCCUUGUGCUCUUGAUUCCUACUAUUACGUGAGCCUCAUACUUAUAAGUGCUAACUACGUGAUCUGUGAUGUAACAGGAUGUAAAGUCUCGCGCUUCGUCUUCUCUGACGAUUCGUUUAGGAACCGGAAAUUACCCCCUCCCAAAAAAAAGGGGGGAGGUGAGGAAAAAAAAAACUGUGGA